AGUUGUGAUCAUGGCUCAGAUUGAACGCUGGCGGGAUGCUUUACAUGCAAGUCGAACGGCAGCACACGGACGGGUCUGGUGGCAGUGGCGAACGGGUAGGUAAUGUAUCGGAACGUGCCUAGUAGCGGGGAUAACUACGCCAGCGUAAUAAUACCGCAUACGCCCUUCGGGGGAAAGCGGGGGACCUUCGGGCCUCGCACUAUUAGAGCGGCCGAUAUCGGAUUGCUGGAUGGGGUGGGAUAACGGCUCACCAAGGCGACGAUCCGUAGCUGGUUUGAAAGGACGACCAGCCACACUGGGACGAGACACGGCCCAGACUCCUGCAGGAGGCAGCGGUGAAAUUUUGGACAAUGGAAACCUGAUCAGCCAUCACGUGUGCGAUGAAGGCCUUCGAAUUUGUAAAACGCUUUUGGCGGGAAAGAAACGGCACGGGACUGUACCCCGUGCAACUGACGGUACUGGGAAUCAGCGCAGCCGCUACGUGCUGGCAACGGCGCGGUAAUACGUGGGGUGCAAGCGUUAAUCGGAAUUACUGGGCGUAAAAAAGCGAUGCGCAAAGCGGUUCGGAAAGAAAGAUGUGAAAUCCCAAAACAACUUUGAACUGCAUUUUUAACUACAAAGCGGUACAUGGAAGGGAGGUGGAAUUCCGCGUGUAGCAGUGAAAUGCAUGAAUGGGAAGGUACCGAUGUGAGCAACUCUGGGAUAACACCAAACGCUCCUUGCAUGAUAGAGGGAGCAAACAGGAUUAGAUACCCUGGUAGUCACGCCUAAACAGUGUCAACUAGCUGUUGGGGCCUUCGGGCCUUGGUAGCUGUACGCGUGAAGUUGACCGCCUGGGAAGUACAGUCGCCAGAUUAAAACUCCAAAGAGAAUUGACGGGGACCACGCCACAAGCGUUGGAUGGUGUGAUUAAUUGAUGCAACACUGGCCGCCCACCUGCCACUUGACGCUGUCUGGAAUCCCGAAGAUGCGGGUGCUCGCAAGAGAACCGGAACACAGGUGCUGCAUGGCUGUCGUCAGCUCGUGUCGUGAGAUCGUUGGGUUGAGUCGCAACGAGGCGUAACAGCCCUUAUCGCUGGUUGCUGCGAAAGGGCGCCACAAUGAGACUGCCGGUGACAAACCGGAGGAGGUGAGAUGACGUCGCGGUCACUCAUGGCCCUUAUGGGUAGGGCUUCACACGUCAUACAAUGGUCAGGACAGAGGGUCGCCAACCCGCGAGGAGGCCAAUCCCAGAAACCCGAUCAUGGUCGGAUCGCAGUCUGCAACUCGACUACGUGAAGUCAGAUCCUUCGGCCGUCGCGGAUCAGCAUGUCGCGGUGAAUGCGUUCCCGGGGUCUUGUACACGCCCGUCACACCAUGG
Molecule: ribosomal RNA, 1360 nt
Filed under: uncultured Bordetella sp.
Lineage: Bacteria; Pseudomonadati; Pseudomonadota; Betaproteobacteria; Burkholderiales; Alcaligenaceae
Description: partial 16S-23S ribosomal RNA intergenic spacer
Rfam family: Bacterial small subunit ribosomal RNA
Source: RNAcentral